UGGGGAAUAUUGGGCAAUGCCCGCAAGGGUGACCUAGCAACGCCGCGUGAAGGAUGAAGGCCGUAAGGUUGUAAACUUCUGUUAGAGGGGACGAAUGGUUUCGGUAGCACCGAAAUUUGACUGUACCCUCAGAGAAAGCCCCGGCUAACUACGUG
This 155-nucleotide ribosomal RNA is filed under the name uncultured bacterium. Its description in RNAcentral is "partial 16S rRNA". It matches the Rfam family "Bacterial small subunit ribosomal RNA", at positions 355 to 507 of the family's 1533-position model. The record is from RNAcentral.